UAUCUUCAUGUAAAGGCCAAUGGUGGAUGAUGGAUCCCAUCCCAUGCAUCACAUGGAUGACUAAUGAACUUUUAUAAUCUCGACUGAUCGAUAUCGUCUUAUCAUUAUCUAAGCAGUUUAGUUUUCAAACAUGAUUACGUAAUAAACAAUAUCCUUUUAUCUUGGGUAAAGUCUAAAGCCAGAAAUAGUUUAUUCAGCUGCUACCUAACUUUAAUUUUAUAUAUGCAAUUGUUAACCAUUGCCAUUAUUCUUCAUGUUUUAUACGAUUUUCUAAAUUAUUCAAAAUUACAAGAAGAAGAAUUCUAAGUACAAAAAAAAUGAAUAUAUAGUUCUAACAAACUAGCUUAUAACUCACAUAUACGUUACAACUCCUGGAUGGUUUUGUUCAGCUAACGCUUACUUUUUUACAAACUAAUCUUUCUUUCUCUAUGCUCUUACUCUAUCUGGAAAUACUUGAUCCAAAUAAUUGAUUAGAAGCAGCUAAUUAAUUGGUUGCCGAAUCAGAUUACUCAUAUGCAAGAACUUAAAUGGUAGAUAUUUUGACAGGCCAUGAGGGGAACUGAUGGGAACACCAUACAUAUUCAAACAAAUGAUAUUACUGAGUCAUGACCCACUUCGAACAGAAUUUGGUUGCUUAAUUUGUCAAAUAUGUGAUGACCUGUGCUUCAUUACAAAAUUCAAGACGUGAUGUUUAUAGGCUACAUUCAAUAUACGAUCGAGAAAUAAUUCACAAACGCGAACUGGUUCUGCUUGGAGUGACCCUCAAGGUGUCUCCACCAGAAUGGACUUUAUAACUACGUUAAAUAAUUUGGUCUCUUGGAAUUUUGGUUAAUUUGAUUGAGUACGAUCUCCAUCAAAGACUCUUCUUCAAGACUUUAGACACCCUGGUGGCUGGUGCUCAGAGUUCAACCACGUACGUCAAAACAAAAGAAAAAAAAAUGAUUUGGAAACAUUUGAAAGAAAUAAAAAUCACUAUAUACGUUGCCCAAUUAGUGAGAUUCGUAAAUAUACUCAAGAAGGCAAUUAAUUAGAAAACCUGAUUUUAAACAAGUAGUUACGAUAUCAUUAUUAUUUGAAAUUAAUUUUCAUUUUUAGGUGAGUUUUUGCUCACCUCUUAAUUAUGGUGUAGCGUUUCUUUUCUUUGUGUUUUUCUUAUGACAAAAACGGACUUCUUUUUGCCCUCCAAUUUAAUUGUUAAUCGCUAUAAAAGUAGUUUGCAUUCCAAGUUAAUGUGACAUCUGUUUCUCUCUCACUUUUCUCUUUAUUUCUCAAGACAAACAAGAUACUAACAAUGAGCAUAUAUUGUCCUAAUUGCCUCCUCCUAGUCCUCACCGCCUUGUUGUAUCUUUUCGUUGCUAUCACCGCGUUUGGAGUAGGAGGAGGAGAAGAGCACCUUUACCCUCCCAAGUACCCUCCUCUAAGGGGUGGGUAUUUCCCCUUUGACAACCUGAACGACCCACGUUUGAGGGAGAUCGCAGAGUUCGCCAUUUCCAAGUACAACAAGAUUCAUGACCAAAAACUAGUGUUGCAAAAGUUGGUUCAUGGACAGUUCCAAAUAGUGGAGGGAACCAAUUACAAGCUUGUCAUUUCGGUUCUCAAUUCUUCCAAGAUCUUUAGCGGCCCAAUCAACUAUGAGAUCAUUGUGUUCGAAAAUCUUUGGAGGACUAUUAAGGAACUGAAGUCCUUUGUUCGAGUCCAAAUUAAUAAAACUUAAAUCCAGUCCACCUUAUUUUUAAGGUUUCUGGAGUCCUUUCUCAUUUCUUUCUUAUAUUUUUUAGAGCAUUAUCAACUAAUAAUAUAUAAGUUACUUUCACAUGAUGCAUUAUGAGUUCGAUUUUUUGUGUUAGUUAAUCAUGCGAAGGUGGCCAAAGAGAGGCUAAAAUGUCUUUGUGAGUCUUCCCGACUUCCGAAAUGAAUGAUUACCGUGGUGAAGCCACCAACUAGUCCUCUUUUUCUAAAUAAAAAAACAACAUAAUACAAACACAGUUUGGAAACAACUCAAUUUCAUUACUUUUCUCAUAUUCUCCUUUACUCACUCUUUUUUGUUCGAUGGCAAAUAAUUUUAUCGUUUGUGAAAUAACCAACAAAACGAUAUAAGAACAUGAAAAAAUUAAACUAAUUAACAAUCUCGCAUGUAAAAAAGUAAAUUUUUUUUGGGGGUAAAGACCGUGAAGUGUCUGCACACCCGAAAAGUGUGACCAAUAUCUACUCAAGGUUUGGCUUGACACUGGCCACAAAGUGCUUUCGUAAAAUUUCUGGCAAAUAUAAAAAACGACACGUAGUUUUCUUUUUGUUCAUGUUUGUUUCGUCCAUAUAAUUUGGUGAAGCUUUUGACGUCAAAAAGAGGAAGGGCUAAAUUUUAGUAGAUGAUGCAAAAAAGGAUAGUGACAUUGAUCCAUAAGAAGCUCAACAAACUCUUGAAAUACCGGAAGCUAAUUUGAGGAAAGCUAAAGGCAGGAGACAAACAAUUGAAGUUAAUUUGUUAAACCCUCCGUGCCUUUCCUUUUUAGUCAUUAAAACCCACAAAACAAAAGAAAUAAUAUCAUUUUUGUUGUAGGCCUAUUUGAUUGAAAGAUUUAAGGUUUAGAGAGAGAGAUAGGGGUUCGGCAAUAUUGAGAGAGAAGAGAGAUUGAUUUAAUUGUGAGGUGUGUUUGAUUCACCCCAUUGUGCCUUUAUUUAUAGUAGUAGGAAGGGUAAAACCUUUCCCUUUAGAAUUACAAUAUUUAAUAGAUAAUCUAAUCUUAAUAGGAAUAUAAGAUAUUUUCCCAUAUUCCCUAGGAUUUACACAAUCACAUUCCUAUUCUAAAUAUGACUGCAACACUCCCCCUUAAGUGUGUAAAUACUCAACAAAUCAUCCCAUCAGAUCUUCAGCAGAUAAGGUAGAAUAGUUGAUGAAGUCAUCGGCACAACGGGUGAUCGCGAGUCUCAAAUUUAAGUGAAGUAUGCAUUUGUAGUAAAACUCACAAAACCUCGUUAUGGUAAAACCCAAUGCAUGGGGAAAACCCAUAGACUAAGGAGAAGAGUGAGAAGUAUGAUCAUCCCAUGAUGGGUGCCUCAUUAAAACCUCGUUAGGUAGCAAAACCCAGUGGAAAAAAUGCUUCUAAUCGUAGGGAAAAUAGUACAGUAAGAUCAUGUGAGUAUGCUUCUAGAUACUCUCCUUAAGUUAGACAUAACUUCUAAAUAAGAGAACUACAAACGAUGCAACUUAGAUAAUUUACGCAUAUCGAUUCCUUGGAUGGGUUUCUGAAAUGUAGACUUGGGCAAUAACUUGGUAAAGAGAUCGGCCAGGUUGUCCUGGGAACGGAUUUGCUUGACUUCAAUGUUCUGAUGUUGUUGUUGCUGGUGUGAUUAAAAGAACUUUCAUAAUAUGUGCUUGGUGUUGUCUCUUUUGAUGUAUCCCUUCUUCAGCUGCUCGAUACAUGCUGCAUUGUCUUCAAAGAUCAUCGUAGGAAGGUCAACGACUGAUGUAAGACCACUAGUGCUUCGAAUAUGUUCCAUAACUUCUCUUAGCCAAAAGCACUCACGCGAUGCUUCAUGUAGGGCGAGAAUCUCAGCAUGGUUAGACGAAGUCGCAACUUGCGUUUUCUUGGUAGACUUCCAAGAUAUAGCGGUGUCUCCAACGGUAAAGACAUAACCUGUUGAGAACGUGCUAUAUGUGGGUUAAACAGAUAUCCAGCAUCUGCAUAACCAACAAGGCGAGAAUCAUUCCGAGGGCCAUAGAGGGCGACAACACUUGGAGAUUAGCGAGUAUAGAACAAACCCAAAUUCGUAGUACCUUUGAGGUAGCGAAAAAUGUCUUUAACACCAUUCCAGUGCCUGCAUUUGGGUGCAUUGUUGUAUCUAGCCAAUAGAUUCACAGAGAAUGAGAUGUCAGCUCUAAUGCAUUGAGUCAAGUACAAUAAAGCCCCAAUUGCACUUAAGUGAGGAACUUCGGGUUCCAAAAUCUCUUCCUCAUCCUCCUUUGGACUGAAGGGAUCUCGUUUAGCAUCUAGAGUUUGAACAACCAUACGUGUACUCGAAGGCUUCGCUUUAUCUUCAUUAAAACGUCAUAACACCUUUUGGGUGUAGUUCGAUUGAUGUACUAGGAUUCCAUCCGAACAAUGCUCGAUUUCCAGGCCGAGGCAAUAUCGAGUUUUCUAAGAUCCUUUACCUCAAAUUCUGAUUUCAAGUGUGUAGCAAUUUCCUCAAUCUCUGCGGCAGUCCCAAUGUGGUUCAUGUCAUCGACAUAAACUGCAAUGAUUGCAAAUCCGGAAUCUUGAAAAGCUGCAAUCUGCCUCGAUUGUCAUCCACCAUUCUUGUUUUAAAAAUUAAAUUAAAUCAGAAAUUAACAUUUUGUAAAUUUCAAGAAAUUUUAUUCUGUUGAUGCACAAAAUCAGCGAAGACUUUGGUACAACAGAAAGUGUCAGGUUUUGUGACCUUCGCUUGGUUGCUUCGGUCACUAGUGAGGAUAAGUACGUAAAUGAAUAGAGACAGAGAAGCAAACACAGGAUGUACGUGGUUCACCCAGAUUGGCUACGUCCACGGAGUAGAGGAGUUCUUAUUAGUAGUGAAGGGCUUACACAAGUACAAAGGAUCAAGCUCUCAAUUUAGUGAGUUCUUGUGAAUGAUUUAACACAAAAUGGCAUUAGGCAAUAUUGUGGGGGAAUGACCCCUAUUUAUAGAAAAACUUGUAGCUUUGUCACAUUGACAUGUGUCAUGUUAUGAUUGGUUCUUGAUGUCGACACGUGCUGCGCUCUGAUUGGCUUCUAAUCUUGACACGUGUCGAGUAGUGAUUGGCCUCCUGGUCGGAGGGGAACUCUUCUGGGUCCUUGACAGUAUAGCGUUGGCCGGUGCUCGGUAGUUUCGGGAUUGGUCAAGUAUGGUACAAACAGUGCUCCCCUAAGUUCCCGAGUGAGGGAAACUCCUCGGUUGGGGACUUGCAAGAUCCAAUCCCUUGAGUAAUCACGAAACUUCUAAGUACCGAAGUGUGGUCUGAUCUUCAUCUGCCCUUCUCUGGAAGUACCUUUCCUCCAUCCGGGAAUGGUGUACUUUAGCUGAUGUUGACGCACAAGGUAAUGUAUCAAUUUCACUUGAAGCUUAGUUGUAGUUUCGGGCUUAGUCAAGUGUGAUACAAACCCUAUAGUAGGAGUCCCCCAAGUCGCCGAGCUAGGAGAUCUGCCGAAAGAGGUGACAGACAAGGUAAGCAGUCAAACUUCCAAGUAAGCAACCCAGGAUCAGAGGUUUGACUUCGGCUUCCGGUUGAUUGUUCUCCUUCUCCUUGUCUCUCAUUCAACUGCCAGGAUAAGGAGAAGCAAAUGGAUAAGAGAUGAUAUGAGAUACUUUUGCUUUUGAAGAAGUAACUUUCCACAGGCUUAUUCUUGAACUGUGCUGGAGGGUUUUCUGGUGCCCUUCAGAGUAUAAGGCCGACUCAAAAAUUUGAGGGUCAAAACAAGUCCAUCAAAUCUAGAGUACGUUCGACCUUGAUGAUAUGGGAUACUUUUGCUGUUGACGGAAUAAUGAAUGUGGUAUGGAAAGGUGUCGUGCUGUAGUGAUCUGUUUCAGCUCACCGUUGAACCUUCUGCUUCAAUCUUUUGCAUGGCAGAAGUGGUGUGCAACCUUUGCAUUUAAAUGGUCCUUCAGAACAUUCCUUCAUAGUGACUCAUCCACGCUUGGCAGCUUCAGUGUAAAGAGCCAAUAUCUGAUCAACUGUCAUGAGGUAUUUGCCGGUGGAAUUCGUGACCUUGACAGCAGUUGAGGAUGAGUACUCGAGAGCAAUGCUAAGUAAGCAACCAGGCAAAGGCUCCAGGCAGUCAGUUCCAAAUUGGAGGUUUGAUUUCAGGUUCCGACUGACUGCUCUCUUUCUCCUUGUCCUGCAGGUGUGGACAAGGACAAAGACAAAGACAGGGAGAAAGCAUGAUAUGGGAUACUCUUGCUUUCGACCCUGAUGAUAUGAGAUACUCUUGUUCUUGGUGUGGCUUAUUUGCUGAGGUAUUAUCGGGGGGAAAUAAAGCUGAGUAUUUCGAGAGGUUAUGUUGAGGGUGCCUUUUCGAAUGCGAGAAAGGGUUGAGCAUUUUUGCAGGUUUGCCUGUCCGUUGAGGAGGGAGGUCAAUGUAUAUAGGGAUUUCCCAAUAACAAGUAGUAAUGCUAUUCCUUUACCCUUCUUGGUCACAGCAAUGUAGUGGGAGCUGCCAGCUUCACGUGUUUUAAUUUUGUCAGAGCACUUUGAAAAAGUGGUAUGUGGUAUCUGGAAAGCUGAUAUUACGUGUGAAGAUUACAGACAAGCUUUAUCUAAGGAAAUCUGGCUCUCGAAGUUCUGAGAGUUGUGCCUCUUCGGUUUUCGAACAAGCAAUCCCGUCGAGGAUCUGACUCUCGAGAUUCGGAAAGCGGUGCUACUCCGGUUUUUGAGAAAGUAAUUAUGUUGGGAGUCUUUUCUCUCGAAUGUGAGUAAAGGUUGGACGUUCUUGCCAACCUGUCUUGCCGCAAAACACGGAGGUCGACACACAUAGGGACUUUCCAGUUGUCAAGCAGUGGUGCUGUUCCUUUACCCUUAUGGGUAAUAGUAGGGUAGCUGGAACUUCGAAAUUCUCGUGCCUAAACUUUGUCAGAGAUCUUUGACAAAGUUAUAUGUGGUACCCGAGGAGUUGAUGGUGCAUAUGGAGAGCGGUGAUUGAACAGUAAGAUUCACGUGCUUUCUACUUCACCAGAAAUCUUCGACAGAUUGCCCGUAAUUUCCGCAAAGCUGAUUGUGCAUGUGACAGGUGCUGACGAGGCUGAAAAAGCAGGUGCUUCUUCGAUUUCUGAGAUCGGCCCUCGUGGUCUCUGAGCAGCCCAGCUUUUGAGAAAGCAAACGCCUCUUCGAUUUCUGAGAUCGGCCCUCGUGGUCUCUGAGCAGCCCAGCUUUUGAGAAAGCAAACGCCUCUUCGAUUUCUGAAGCUCCGUCGAGUGCAGAUUUUUAUAGAGGCUGGCAUUAAGUUCCACAGCACACUUGAAUCUCUACCAGUAGAAGCUCAUUUCUUGCACUUCUAAGAUCUUGAUUUGUCUGACCUCUUCCUUCUUCAACACAUUUGAAAAUGUCUGGACCCUCCGACCGUCGUUUUGACUUGAACCUUGGAGAAGAGACAGCCACGCCUUCUCCAGACAACAUAUGGCGCCCAUCCUUCAUAUCCCCUACUGGUCCUCUUACCGUUGGGGAUUCUGUGAUGAAGAAUGAUAUGACCGCUGCAGUGGUGGCCAGGAACCUUCUCACUCCCAAAGAUAACAGACUACUUUCCAAACGGUCUGAUGAGUUGGCUGUUAAGGACUCUCUGGCUCUUAGUGUUCAGUGUGCAGGUUCUGUGUCUAAUAUGGCCCAACGCCUAUUUGCUAGAACCCGCCAAGUUGAAUCAUUGGCUGCUGAAGUGAUGAGUCUCAAACAGGAGAUUAGAGGGCUCAAGCAUGAGAAUAAGCAGUUGCACCGGCUCGCCCAUGACUAUGCUACAAACAUGAAGAGGAAGCUUGACCAGAUGAAGGAAUCUGAUGGUAAGGUUUUACUUGAUCAUCAGCGGUUUGUGGGUUUGUUCCAAAGGCAUUUAUUGCCUUCGUCCUCUGGGGCUGUACCUGGUAAUGAAGCUUCAAAUGAUGAACCUCCAAUGCCUCCUCCUUCUGGGGUUUUGUCAAGUACUGAGGCUCCGGAUAACCACCCUCCGGUGCUUUCUCUUUCUGGGGCUCUACCGACUGCUGAGACUUCCCCUAAGCAACCUUUGUGAAGGCUCCCUUUUGUUUGUUUAUUUUGACUCAUGUAUAUGUACAUAUUUGUGGCUUAUCGAAAAUAUUAAUAAAUAAGCUUUGCUUCAUUUCAACAUAUUGUGUUAAAUACACCAAAGCCUUCUUCAUAAAGUUCUUUGAAUUUUUGCUUUUGUUGAAACCUGUAUUGUUGAAGCUUUGUGAGUGAAGCAUGUAGUUUGAGGUAGUGUUCCCUUAAUUUCCCGAGUGAGGAAAACUUCUCGGUUGGAGACUUGAAAAAUCCAAGUCACUGAGUGGUUGUGAGACUUUUGCCGAGUAUCCAAGGUGCGUAGUAGCAUAUGGUGGGAGUCCCCCAAGUCUUCAGGCGAAGAGAGUUGCCGAAUGAGGUGUCUCGCGUGUUACUAAUGUUGUCAAAGUAACGAAUUCCUUGUUUCGAUUUGUCACACAUUCGUAUAUGCUUUAUCUAAAAAAUAUUUCCAACUUUUGUGUGUUUGAUGCUGCAUGCUAUUGACUAGACAAAAAGAUCAAAUGUGCAAUUAGUAGCUUUUCUCUCUUUUUCAUCUUUUCUUUGGUGGAAUUGCUUUUUCGUUUCCACUAAUCAGCCUGAGUGGAUGCAAGAUAACACCUUUCUCUAUAGCUCAGAUUGCAAAGUCGUCUUCAUGAAAGUUUUUCCUUAUCUUGUGAACUACAACAUAUCCAAAUUUGAGAGAUCCAUCGGAGUAGUACAACUUCAGAAAUUCAAGUAUGAUGAGUAACUGUUCAUCAAUGUUCUGUUAAUCCGUCAGACUUUGUUGUGAGCUUCGAAACUCCAUUUUCUCUUGUUCAGAUCAACAUACUUUCUUCAUCGAAGUUGUUCCUUAACUUGUGAACUACAACAUAUCCAAAUUUGAGAUCCCUCGGAGCAGUAUAACUCCAGAAAUCCAGGUAUGAUGAGUGACUGUUAUCAUUUGUCUGUCAACCCGUCAGAUUUGUUGUGAGCUUUGAAACUCCAUUUUCUCUUGCUUCAGAUCAGCAUGCUUUCUUCAUUGAAGUUGUUCCUCAGCUUGUGAACUACAACAUAUCCAAAUUUGAGAUCCCUCGGAGCAGUAUAACUCCAAGAAAUCCAGGUAUGAUGAAUGACUGGUUAUUAUUUUUCUGUCAACCCGUCAGAUUUGUUGUGAGCUUCGAAACUCCAUUUUCUCUUGUUCAGAUCGGUAUGCUUUCUUCAUUGAAGUUGUUCCUCAUCGACUCUUUCAUAACAUAUCAAAAAUUCAGGAUGAACUAACGGUUAAAUAUUUCCAGAUCUUCGAAACAUCACAACAGCUUCGAAAUCUGCAAGAAGCCGACUAUCAUGUUUGGAGCUUCAACACUUUAAUUUCCGUCGCUCAAACAGAAAUGGUUCCUUCUUGAAAGUUGUUCAUAUGCUCAAGAACUAUAGGGUGUCCAAAAUUCAGCUCCAUUGGAGAAGAGCAGAGGUUGCAGAAAUUUGAUAGAUGAAAGGAGGCGGAAGAGGGAGAGAGAGAAAAAGUCUCUUGGGUUGGAUUUCUAUUUUGGGGCAGAUUCCAAUUUUUGUAGCACCUUCAUUAUUGAUGAAUUGCUUGUACUUUUGUCCAUUAUGAAACUUUGGGACUUUGGCUUGUUGUUGGAUCUAUUAUAAUAUGUUUGGGAACAUAUAUAAGUGAAUAAAUAAGAAGGAAAAUUUUGGGCCCUUGUGGGUGUAAAACAAAAAAUGUUUAUGUUUACCCAAGUGUUUUUGUACAAGUUCAAGGGCAUCUUGGGUUUUGUGAACAAAAUUUGUUUAUUUGGAGCAAGGUUUUGUGUUGAAGCUUUGUAGGUGAAGCUUUCUAGGUGAAGCUUUGAUGGUGAAGCUUUGUAGAUGAAGCUUUGUAGAUGAAGCUUUCUAGGUGAAGCUUUGAUGGUGAAGCUUUGAUGGUGAAAGUAUGUAGAGGGAGCUUUCUAGGUGAAGAUUUUUUAGGUGAAGCUUUGUAGGUGAAGCUUUUUUAAGUGAAGCUUUUCGGGUGAAGUUUUUUUUUUUGGGAAGCUUUGUGGUGAAGCUUUUUAGGUGAAGCUUUGUGGGUGAAGCUUUGGAGGUGAAGCUUUUGGGUGAAGCUUUUUGGGUGAAGCUUUUUAGGUGAAGCUUUGUGGUGAAGCUUUUUAGGUGAAGCUUUGUGGGUGAAGCUUUGGAGGUGAAGCUUUUCGGGUGAAGCUUUUUGGGUGAAGCUUUUUAGGUGAAGCUUUUUUGGGUGAAGCUUUGGAGGUGAAGCUUUUCGGGUGAAGCUUUUUGGAUGAAGCUUUUUUUUUUUUUUUUUUUUUUUUUUUUUUUUUUGGCGCUUGACACGGUCUUCAUUUGCUUGUUUUGUAGUGACUGUGGAAGACGGAUUGCUUUCUGAUUGAGAAGGGUUCCGGCAUCGCUUGCUAUGAAUGUAAAAGAGUGAGGGCUGAGUUGGCUAAAUUACCUCUUUAUUGAAUUCAUUGCCAAAUGGCCUUCAUUACAUAGGAUGCCGAACGGCUAUAGCUCAACACUUGUACAUCGUGAGUCUAUUUGUAGUAGUACUUCAAGUGAUCAGCGUUCCAUGGAUGGCCAAGGGUCUUGCCAUCGGAGCUUCUAAGUGUGUAAGAGCCAGGGCGACUGAUGCCAAUGACUUCAUACGGUCCAUCCCAGUUUGGACUAAGUGUGCCUUCACUCGGGACUCUGUCGCAGAGUAAUCUUUUCUUUAAGACCCAGUCUCCUAUUUUGAAAGAACGAGGCUUGACCCUAGAGUCAUAAUAGUUGGAGAUGCGCUGCUUGUAGGCGACAUUCCUCAAGUGAGCUUGGUUUCUGUGUUCCUCGACUAAAUCCAAGUUGAGGGUGAGUUGUUUGUCAUUUUCACUUUGAAUGUAGUUCUGGACUCGGAAUGUUGCUUGCUCGAGCUCAACAGGGACAACCGCCUCUGUGCCAAAGGCAAGUGAGAAUGGAGUUUCUCCUGUUGAAGUCCGAUAUGAAGUGCGAUAUGACCAAAGAACUUGGGGUACAAAUUCUGGCCAACAGCCUUUAGCUUUGUCCAAGCUGGUUUUCAAAGUGCGCUUGAUUAUUUUGUUGAUGGCCUCAACUUGUCCAUUAGACUGGGGAUGAGCUGGAGAGGCAAAGCAUAAGUUGAUGUUGAACUUAGAGCAGAACAACCUGAACUUCUUGUUGUCAAACUGUCGCCCAUUGUCAGUGACUAUCGCAUUGGGAAUGCCGAAUCUACAAAGGAUGUUCUUCCACACGAAGUCUUCUAUCUUUGCCUCAGUAAUGGUUGCCAAGGGUUCUACUUCGGCCCACUUUGUGAAGUAGUCCACUGCAACGACUGCGUAACAGACUUUGCCCUUCCCUGCCGGCAUUGGGCCGAUCAAAUCAAGUCCCCACUGGGCGAAGGGCCAAGGGCUGAUCAUAGGAGUAAGAGGCUCUGGAGGGGAAUGAGGAAUAGUUGCAUAUCGUUGACAUUUGUCACAUGAGCGGGAUACUUUGAUGGCAUCCUGGUGGAGUGUUGGCCAGUAAUAUCCUUGGCGAAAAGUCUUGUGUGCUAGGGACCGAGAUCCAGCAUGAUCUCCACAGACUCCCUCAUGUAUUUCCCGAAGGACGAUUUCCGCCUCGGCAGGCGUAAGACACCUUAAGUAUGGCAGGCUAAAACCUCGCUUAUAGAGUUGAUCAUUGAUGAUCAGGUAGCGGGUAGACUUGUAUCGAAUUUGCUUAGCCUGGACUUUAUCAUUUGGGAGGGUGCCAUGAGCAAGGAAAUUAUAGAUCGGGGUGAUCCAACUAUCCCCCUGUUGUAAGUUGCAUACUUCUGCGGCCAUGGUGCUUGGUGUUGCCAACAGUUCGACAUGAAUUUUUCUUCCAAUCUUGUCUUCCACAGCUGAGGCGAGGCGAGCCAGGGCGUCUGCAUGACUGUUUGCCGCUCGAGGAACUUGGGUGAUCUGGUAGUGGAAGUGCUUGAGCAAAAGUUGUGUUUGCGCAAGAUAUGCUGCCAUGGAGCUGUCCUUAGCAUCAAAGUUGUUGGUAACCUGGUUGACCACUAAUUGGGAGUCACUGAAAAUAUCAAUUUGUUUAACCCCGAGGUGUUUGGCCAAACGUAAUCCUGCUAGAAGGGCUUCAUACUCGGCCUCAUUGUUUGAUGCCUUGAAUUUGAAACGAAGAGCAUACUCCAUUGCUACUUUGUCGGGCGUAGUCAAGACUAGUCCCGCUCCACAGCCCUGUUGGUUGGAUGAGCCAUCAACAUACAGACUCCAUGCUGAGGUCGUUGAUUCUACUUUCUGAGCUUCCGAUGGUAAUGAAGCUACUGCUUCAGGUGUAGAAGCAAUGUCAACAGGAUAUGUGAAGUCGGCGAAUGAAAUCUGCUACUGCUUGGCCUUUUUCGGCUGGUUUUGGUUGGUAGGAGAUGUCAAACUCACCCAAUGCUAUCGCCCAUUUGAUCAUUCGCCCAGACGUGUCAGGACUUUGGAGUAUCUGUCGAAGAGGGUGAAUUGGUAAGCACGAUGAUGGCGUGUGCUUGGAAAUAAGGGCGAAGUUUCCGAGCAGACAUGACCAAUGCUAGAGCCAAUUUCUCAAUGUUGGAGUAGUACCGUGUCUCCGCAUCUUGUAAGGCCUUUGCUAGCGUAGUAGACAGGGCCGUUCGACACCAUUGUCCAUUUCGAAUGAGAACAGGAACUUACUGGCUGAAGCUGAUACCGAUAGGUAGAUAAUGAGAAUGUCUCCUACUUCGGGCUUUUGGAGAGUAGAGGGGCUUUACUCAUGUACUCUUUGAGGUUUUUGAAUGCCUCGGCACAUUCAUCAGUCCAUGUAAUGUACUUCCUACUUCCCUUAAGUGCUUUAAAAAAGGGAGCACAUUUGUCUGUGGCCUUAGAAAUGAACCUGGUUAAGGCUGCCACCUUGCCAGUAAGGCUCUGGAUGUCCUUUGAAGUUACCGGUUCCUUCAUGUCGAGGAUUGCUUUGAUCUUCUCAGGGAUUAGCUUCAAUGCCUCGUUGGCUAAUCAUGAAACCUAAGAAUUUGCCAGAGCCUACGCCGAAGGCACAUUUGUUGGGGUUUAACCUCAUUCGAUACCUCUUCAAAAUAGUGAAAGUUUCAGAUAGGUUGGUGAUGUGUUGGUCAGCAUGUUUGCUCUUGACUAACAUAUCAUCAACGUAAACUUCCAUGCUCUUCCCAAUCUGCUCGGCGAACAUUGAGUUGACUAGUCUCUGAUAAGUCGCUCCUGCAUUCUUUAGGCCGAAAGGCAUGACUUUAUAGCAGUAUAGUCCUCUGUCGGUAGUGAAGGCUGUGUGUUCUUGAUCCGAAGGGUUCAUGAGGAUUUGGUUGUAUCCUGAGUAAGCAUCCAUGAAGCUCAGGAGUUCACACCCGGCCGUAGAGUCUAUAAGUCUGUCAAUAAGAGGAAGAGGGAAGCUAUCUUUCGGACACCCUUUGUUUAGGUCGGUGUAGUCAACACACAUUCUCCACAAGACCUUUUGAAGCAAAAGACUUUCUUUGGUCGGAUUUUUCUUAACAAGGACCACAUUUGCUACCCAUGUCGGGUAAUUGACUUCGCGGACAAAGCCUAUGCCUUUGAGUUUUUCAACUUCUGCUUUCAUUGCCUCGUAUCGUUCAGCGUCAUAAGAUCUUCGCUUCUGUCUCACCGGCUUGAUCUUGGGGUCAAUACUCAAACGAUGACAGAUGACAUCGGGAGAGAUGCCUGGCAUGUCCUCGUAUGACCAGGCGAAGACUUCAGUGUUCUCUUUCAAAAAAGAUAUCAAUGCUAACCGAAGGGGUGGUGACAAUGUGGUGCCAAUCUUCACCAUGCGAUCUGGAUAAUCUCUUGAGAUAGGUACCUUCUCCAACUCUUCAGCAGGUUGGGCUUGCUGGGUGAAAGAGUCAUCUCGAGGAUCAUCGGGUUGAUUGUUGCUAUCAGGAAGAUCCAAGUUCGCUUCAUCUAGGCUGGUCUUUGUGACUUGGUCAUGUACAGACAGGGUUUCCUUGGGUCCGGGCAAGUGUUGUUGCUUAACUGAAGUGUUGUAACAUGAUCGUGCACUAAGCUGAUCUCCUCUGAUGUAGCCGUUGCCAUGGGGGGUUGGAAAUUUCAUCAACAGCAUAUGCGUGGAUACCAUAGCCUUGAGAUCAUUGAUGCCUGUGCGCCCAAAGAUGACAUUGUAUGCCGUUGGGCAGUCAACCACUAGGAAGUUAGUGGUAAUGGUAGCCGUGUAAGGGCCUGUACCAAUAGUAAAGGGUAAAUGUAUGCUCCCUAAGGGUUGCACGAUAUCACCGGAGAAGCUUAUCAGAGGAGAAAUCGAGCGAUCGAGCAAGUGUUCAGCUACACUGAGUGCCCUGAAAGCUUCGGCAAACAUGAUAUUGACCGAAGCCCCUGUGUCUACGAGGAUUCGUCGAACAUCAAAGUUGGCUAUGUGAGCCUCCACGAUCAAUGGGUCGUUAUGAGGGUAGAUGAUGCCUCUUUCUUCCUCAGGGUAGAAACAUAUCGGAUCCCAGUUAGGCUUUUGAUACUUCCCUCCCCUGAUGUCUUCCACGUGAAACACUUGGUGACCAGGCCUCAGAAUUCGUUCACUGUUUUUCAUGGCCCUAUUGGAAGAUUCAGAUAUGGGUGUGCCGCCGCUUAUGGAAUAUAUGACAUUCACCUGGCGUUGGUUACGGUUAUCCCUUUGAGGGUGAAGGAGGAAUUGAUCAAUUUUUCCUUCUCGUGCCAAAGCUUCAAUACGAUCACGGAGGAUGAUACAUUUCUCGCUAUCAUGGCCGUUAUGCUCAUGGUAGCAACAAAACAUGCCCGCGUUAUUCGGGGGCGUGUAAUCUGGGUGCCUCGGCUUUGGCUUUGGUAUCAGGUGAGCUAUGCUGGGGUAAAUGGCCGCGCAUGUGGCAUUCAAGGGCGUGUAUGUCUCAUACCUUGGGGUAGGGGGUAUCUUGACGCGGGUUUGACCCACUGCAUUGACUGCCUGGGGGCGAGCGUUAUUGUGGCGAUACCCUUGGUUAUCGGGAUAGUGUCCCUUACUCUUUUUACUGAAAUGAGAGUGGUGAGGAUGGAAAUCCUUCCUCUUGCCUUGAAAUUGAUAUGUCUGUUGAUUCGGCGAAGCAUUAUGCAAGGCAUGGGGAGGUGCCACUGCUGUUUGGAAAGUCGAGGUCUUCUCAUUUAGGUGAGUCUGGCUUCCACCUCCCACUUGUUGAUAAAGGAUGGUUGUAGGGGGUUUCUCCUGAUAUGUCUUUGCCUCGGCGGAGGCAUGGUUAUAAGCCUGCGCCAUCACCUCAGAGUAAGUCUUCCAAGUAUUGGCAUUGAUCAUGUAUUUAAAGAAACAAUCACGUAGGCCUGCCGUGAAGGCUUUGAGGGCAGUCUUGUCGUCUGCCUCGGCACACCGGGAGUAUUCAUGGCUGAAGCGGCCAGCAUACAUACGUAAUGACUCGUCUGGCUUCUGGCGGAUAGUGUACAGGUCAUCUGCAGAGUGCAAGCGAUCGGUUUGGAAAAUGUGUUGGGAAACAAAUAGUUUCCUCAAUUCCUCAAAUGAGUCUACCGUCUCAGGUGUAAGACGACAAUACCAAUUUAGAGCUCCGCCAGAGAGGGUGGAGGGGAAGAGAAGACAUCGCUCUUCGUCGGUGUGCAUCCGGUAUGCCAUGGUGGACUCAAAGAGGUUAAGGUGCUCAAUCGGGUCCUCUUUUCCAGUAUAAAGUUGCAAGCCAAGCUUUUGCUUUGUCUUUGCUUGAAGGGGGGUGUUGAGGAUCCUCCUUGUAAGAGGGCCAGGCCUGGGUUGGUUCCAGUCAGGUAUUUCAGCCUGACGUUCAGCCUUCAACUUGUUUACUUCCUCAAGAAGUUGUAGGACAAGGGGGUCCUGAGCGGAGUUAUGUGUCCACUGGAGCUUUCUUUCGUAAAUCUCCAUCUCCUCUUGGAAUUAGGAAGGUUUGAUCAAGGGCAUGUGAUUUUUCCCUGGACUCGUUGUACUGGCUUCCAGGGUAUGUCUGUCGGAACACCUCUGAGUCCCCUGUACCCUCAUGUCUCUCUAGGACUUGUUGCCCCUUCCCCAAAUUGGUGGCCGGCUCGGGCCGUGGCAGGGGACCGAGUCUCUCAGAAAUCCUUGGGUCAUUGAUCUUUGAGCUUAUAUGGAUGGAAUUCUCUCGACGUUGCUUCAGGAAAUCCCGACAAUCGCGAAAGACGGCUUUCGAUCCUUCUGCCCCUUCAGCAAAGAGGUGUCUCCCUCCACUUCUCAUGGUUCGGGUCGAAGCAACUGGGUUAAGAGAAGCCUCAUGUUGAUUAUCAAGUCGAGGGGUAAUCUGUUCCCUAUCAGGGAUAUCUAUGUCGAAUGCAUGUGACCCUCCAUGUUGGAGGGCACCCAGUUGAUGGUUGACUUCCACGGGGGCAACAAGCUCGCGUGUCUGAGCUUGCCUAGCUUCGUGGAGUGUCUCGAAGAGCUUCUCAUAUUGCUCCUGGAGGACCUCAUUCCUCAUUGCUAUCUUGUUGUUCUGAGCUUCCAACUCAUCGACUUUAGCUUGAAGAAGAACUCGUUUUCCUUCCUUCUUUCGUUGCUUUCGCACUAUGUGCAAGGGGGGUGUCAUUCUGUGUGCUGUGGCUUCCUUCGCUUCCCAUGUUGGAGAGGGAUGCCUGGUCAAAAGAAAGUGUACGAAUGAUAGAAACCAGCUUGACACAGCUGAAGAGAGUAGGAAUAAGUGUCGUUUCCCACAGACGGCGCCAAAUGUUGAUGCACAAAAUCAGCGAAGACUUUGGUACAACAGAAAGUGUCAGGUUUUGUGACCUUCGCUUGGUUGCUUCCGUCACUAGUGAGGAUAAGUACGUAAAUGAAUAGAGACAGAGAAGCAAACACAGGAUGUACGUGGUUCACCCAGAUUGGCUACGUCCACGGAGUAGAGGAGUUCUUAUUAGUAGUGAAGGGCUUACACAAGUACAAAGGAUCAAGCUCUCAAUUUAGUGAGUUCUUGUGAAUGAUUUAACACAAAAUGGCAUUAGGCAAUAUUGUGGGGGAAUGACCCCUAUUUAUAGAAAAACUUGUAGCUUUGUCACAUUGACAUGUGUCAUGUUAUGAUUGGUUCUUGAUGUCGACACGUGCUGCGCUCUGAUUGGCUUCUAAUCUUGACACGUGUCAAGUAGUGAUUGGCCUCCUGGUCGGAGGGGAACUCUUCUGGGUCCUUGACAGUAUAGCGUUGGCCGGUGCUCGGUAGUUUCGGGAUUGGUCAAGUAUGGUACAAACAAGCUGCAUAUUCAGUUUUUCGGAAACUAGCAAACUAAUUAGGUAGGGGAAUGUUAUAACGUCUAUUAUGGGGGAAUACAUCUCCUAGCAAUCAAUCCUUGGGCGCUGAGAGAAUGUAAUAGCCCACAUCGCCCAAGGGUGAGGAUCUUGUAAGCCUUAUAUGUAUAUUCUCAUCUCUACCUAGCACGAGGCAUUUUGAAAGCAAUACCAGGAUGGGCGACCCACUGAGAAGUUCUCGUGUGAUUUCCCAGAAACAAAACCGUGAGGGCGUGGUCAGGGCCCAAAGCGGACAAUAUCGUGCUACGGUGGAAUCGAGCCCGGGAUGUGGUCGGGGCCCGAGGGUUACCCAUCCUGGGAUUGCUCUCGCGCGAACCGCUUAACUUCGGAGUUCCGAUGGAACCCGAAGACAGUGAGUAGCGCGAGAGAGCAAUCCCAUGAUGGGUGACCCAUUGGGAAGUUCUGAUCACGUGAGUUCCCAAAAACAAAACUGUGAGGGAGUGGUCAGGGUCCAAAGCGGACAAUAUCGUGCUAUGACGGAGUCGAGCCCGAGUUAGGAUGUGACAGAGAAGCCUUGCGCUAUAAGGCGUGCUUUGUAUCGCACUAUUUCAUUCUUCUCAUUACGCUUCCUCACGAAAACCCACUUGUAGCCAAUGGGCUUCAUGCGUGGUGGUGUAGGAACGAUAAGUUUGACCUGGAUUGCUUGUUUCCAGGUUCUACGUUGGCAUUCAUCGACGGAACGUGGUUCAAUGUUUUCCUUUUUAGUCAUUAAAACCCACAAAACAAAAGAAAUAAUAUCAUUUUUAAAUAUCUGAAAGAAAUAAAAGUCACUAUAUACGUUGCCCAAUUGAUCUGUAUCGAAGAUACUCAACAAUGCAAUUAAUCAGAGAACAUGAUUUUAAGCCAGUAAUUACUAUAUCAUUAUUAUUUGAAAUUGAUUUUUGUUGUUGGCUUAAUUUACUAAAUCUUUAUAAAGGAUGGAGAGAAAGAGUGUGGAGGCAAUAGAGAGAAGAGAGAGAUGUGUAAUUGUGAGAUGUGUGUUAUGACACCUAUUGUGCCUUUAUUUAUAGUAGUAGGAAAGGUAAAUUCCUUACCCUAAUAGGAUUACAACACUAAUAUGAUAAUGUAUAGUCUAAGAGAUAUCCAAGAUAUGAUAGGAUUUACAUAAUGACUUUCAUAAUCUAAUAGGACUGCAACAAUUUUCAUUUUUUGGGUCAUUUUUGGGUCAUCCUUUUGAUUAUGGUGCAGUGUUUCUUUUCUUUAUAUUUUUCUUAUAACAAAAAAGGGACUCCUUUUUGCCCUCCAAUUUAAUUGUUAUUCAUUAUAAACGUAGUUUACAUUCCAAGUUAAUGUGACAUAUGUUAAUCUCUCACUUUUCCAUUUUUUUUCCAGUGUUCUAAAAAACGGCCUAGGCGGCCGCCUAGGCGCUGGGCGCCUAGCAACCGAGUUGUUUUUGGGCAAAUCGGGAGGAAAAAUCGGGUUGGGCCUAGGCGGGCUAGGCGGCGCCUAGGCGGGCUGGGCGGCUAGGCGGGUUAGGUGGGCUAGGCGGCCCUAGGCGGUCCUAGGCGGUCCUAGGUGGCCCUAGGCGGUCCUAGGAGGUUUUUUUUAUUUUUUAUUUUUUAUUAAUUGCGUGCUUUUUUCUUUUUUGGUUUCAUGGUGGUAUACUUAUGGAAAUGGUGUAUCUAAUUUGCAAAUGAUGAAUUUACUACAAGUUCAUCCAAUACUUAUGGAAAUAGUGUACCUAAUUUGCAUUUUAUCAUUAUUUUAUUAUCCAUACAAGUAUAGUUUUUUUUAGGUGUCAAUAUGCACUUAUUUACAAGAUAUACAAAAAUUUACCUAAAUCCGCCUAGGCCGCCUAGGCGCUAGCCCGCCGCCCGACUAGCGCCUAGCGUUUUUUAGAACCUUGUUUUUUUCUCAAGAUAAACACGAAACUAACGAUGAGCAUGUAUUACCUUAAUUGCCUCCUCCUAGUGCUCACCGCCUUGUUGUAUCUUUCCGUUGCUGCCACCUCGUAUGGAGUAGGAGGAUGAGAAGAGCACAAUUACCCUCCCAAGAACCGUUCUCUAAGGGGUGGGUACUUCUCUAUUGACAACUUGAGCGACCCACAUUUGAGGGAGAUCGUGGAGCUUGUUAUCUCCAUGUACAAUAAGAUUUAUGACAAAACACUGGUGUUGCAAAAGUUAGUUCGGGGACAUUUCUAAAUAGUGGAGGGAACCAAUUUCAAGCUUGUCAUUGCGGUUGUCAAUUCUUCUUCGAUCUAUGGUGGCCCCAUCAACUAUGAUGGCGUGUUUACCAAUUGGGAGUGGAAUGGAGAGAAAUGGAAUUGAAUUCCUCCCCAAGCAUUCUGCAGUUUACUAGCAACUGGGGAAUCAGAUUUUAUGUGGGGUCCAGCCAAUUUCAGGAUUUCAAUUUCGGAUUUCUCUGGAUUUGGAUUCCCUCUAUAGAGGUGGUAAUUGAAUUCUGGGUAGAGAGCUCCAUCACGAAUCAAAAUUUUCUACCCAAAAUACCCAUGUAUAUUCCUAAAACAACUUCUACCUUCAUCAAUCACUCUCCUCUGUAUUUGUUUCUCUCACAACUCAUACCACCCCUUUGUAAUCUGAAACGCAGUAACACAGAAUGACGAACGCCUGCGAUUUGGAACAACGAUCGACCGGGGUUUGAAACGACGACACAACGACGAACAUGAUCUGGAACAACGAACGCCCAAAUUCUCAAGGAAAUUGCGAUUUGUAGACUCAAACAAAAGAGAAGGAAAGAACUUUUAUCACUUUCACCCCUGAAAAUUGGAUUUUUUUUGUUGAUGGGAUGGGUCGUGGCUUCGUAGUUCCUCCUGAGAUUGGAUAGUGGGGUGUGGAUACUGCGUACUGGUGAAAGAAAAGGGCAAGAAAGGGGAAAGAAAAAGAAUGGGGAAAGAAAGGGGAAAGGGUUGCAGAAAAAGAAUGCGGAAAGAAAGGGAGAAGAGAGAAGGAAGUAAAAUGUUAUUUAGUUUACUUUAUGUAGGUAUUUCUAAUAGGAUUUAGGGUGAUUAAGGGUUAGAAGCAAAUAAAAAUUGAUUCUUUCAUAUCAAAUUUGAAGUAAUCUAUGCAAUUAGGAAAAUUUAAAAGUUAUAUAAAAGAAAAAAAAUUAUUCUCUUUAGUAAAAAAUUAAAAAAAAAAUAAAAGAAUAAAAGUUUUACUAAAAAUAAUUAGCAUAUAAAAUAAAUUAGUUAAAAUAGGGGCACUUUAGUAAUCACAUUAAUUAUCAUUCCGAUUCAUGUGAAUUAGUAAAUAGUUUGUAUACAUCAAUGUCAUUCCUACUCCGAUUCUAGACAAUUUUGGUAAACAAAUUCAACAGGAAUCUAAUUCUGAUUCCACCUCAUUCCAAUUCCUCCUCAAUCCAAUUCCUCUUAAUCUGAUUACGGAUUAGUAAACGUGCCCUGAGAUCAUUGUGUUCGAGAAUCUUUGGAAGACUAUUAGUAUUAAGGAACUGGAGUCCUUUGUUCGAAUUCAAACUAAUAAAAAUUAAAUCCCGUCCAUCUUAUUCAUGGUCUUUGGGGUCGUUUCUCACUUCUUUCUUAUAUGAUUUGGAGCAUAAGAAAUUAAGCAUCUGCUAAUAAUAUACAAGUUACUUUUACAUAACAUGUCAUAAGUUCGAUUUCUGACGUUGGUGAAUCACAAAAUGGUGGCCAGAGAAAGCCUGAAAUGCUUACAUAACUCUUUCCAGUUAAAAAAAAGAUGGAUUACUGUCAAAGCGACGAACUGAUCCUUUUUUUUUUUCUAAUAAUAAAAAAAACAACUCAAUUCAUCACUUUUCUCGACUUCUCCUUGAACCACUUUUUUAUAUUUUUUAUUUUUUAUCCAUAACAAACAAUAUUCUAUUUUUGUGAAAUAACCAACAAAUGAUAUAGAAAAGGGAGAAAUUAAAUUAAUCAACAAACACGAAUAUAAAAAGUAAUUUCAUUUUUUAUAAAGAUGUCUCCACACACAAAAAAAAGUGGGACUAAUCACCAUUCUGAGUAGAGUGGAACGGCUUGACUCUGCUACGUAGUGCCCUCAUAAAAAUUCCGUCAAAUAUAAAAAACGACACGUAGCUUUCUUUUUGUUCAGGGUGUUUUUAUCCAUAUAAUUUGGCGAAGCCUGUGACGGCGAAAAGAGGAGGAGGGACUGGAUUUUACAGUCGUAGACAACAUCAACUUCUUCUUCUUCCCCGGGUCGCCGCCGUACGUAAAGCACGACUCUCUCCUUAUAACUCGCCCCGCAGCCGUGACCUCUGCCGGGUAAGAGAUUUAUUGCCUCUUCUAUUUUUAAUUCCGCGUCGUUCUCUAAUUUAGGAAUUUGCGUAUUGAGGAUUUAGGGAUGUUGCCAUUACAAACAGAUGAAUUCGAAAAUUUCCAACUUGUUCAGUGAAUGGUUUUCAGCGAUUUUUCUCUGCUUGUUAAUUUUCAACUGUAAUCAAUUUGUAAUAGCUUCUGAAAAGUGAAAACAAAGUGAGAUUAGUAUUCACUGAAGAUUCAAAUGGACAACGAAACGAUGGAGUUCUGUCUCUGAAUAACUUCUUGCUCAGUGUAAAGUCUGUUGAUCGUUGAUGCUUUUGUUCUAACGAAAAGCGGGUGACCGGAAAAACCAAACAAUUAAAUGUGCAGAUUAAGGAAUUAACAGGUUCCAUAAAAUUGGGGAAAUCUCAUAUUAACAAAGGGCACCGUAUAAUUUUUAACCGAGGAAAAUUGGCUUAGAAUUUCAUCCCGCCACAUUUUCCAUUCCUGGGUCUCUGCCUGUUCUACAUUCUAACAUGCAGUUCCAAAUGUCACUGCUGGUUUAAUUUCUUUAGACGAUACUUUUCAUUUUUGCUGCUGCAGAAUAUUUUCGAAAUCAUUUUAAUUGAGCUUUUGGGAAGGCUUUGUUUGACAGAGCGGAAAGCGGACUGUUUGUCGUUGGCUUCAGUGUCAGCACUCUGGUUGAAGUCUUUAACAUGGUUAGCCUUAUUUUAAUCACAGUUAUAAUUUUGAUUGUUAUUUGUCUUCUCUGUCAAGUAUGGUUAAAUUUUCUUUCUGUUUUUAUUCUCAGGAAGUGUUCAGGACGGCCAUUUUGCAGCCUGGCCCACCUGAAAGGUUUGCCCUUCAGACAGUUCAACAAGUUAUACAACCUCAGGUAACAACCAUAGAUCCUUCAUGGUCAGGGUUCUUCUUAUUUAUAUUUUUUGCUUCCCAAAGAUUAAGUCCUGUGUAAAUGCAUGCUUAGCUAUUUAUGGCUUUGCUUCUCAAGACUGAAAUACAGUUGUGAUUUCAUUCUCUUUCUGUUUGCUACAUAUGGAUACACUUUUUUUGCUACCUUUGUCCUAUAAAGACUCCAAUUUCUAAUUUUCCAAUGAGUCCUUUACUUGAUUCUAGGCUUUAUCCUUGGUGUUCAGGGGAGCAUUGCUUUCUUCACAUAUAUCCUGAUUGUACAUUAAUCACAUAUUUAAAUCUUUAUUUUUUCCGAAUUUUGUUGUUUGGUCAAUAAAAAUUGGGCCAAUUGAUUUCAUUUCAUCAUGACAGAAACAAACAAAGUUAGUCCAAGAUGAGAAUCAAUUGUUAGAAAAUAUCCUUCGGACAUUGCUUCAGGAACUGGUGGUAUGUUUCUCUUUCUUGUAUUUGUGAACAGAAUAUUUUGAUUAUUUGAUUAUACUUCUGAAGUUUACUGCAUUUCUAGUUUUUUCUGCAUAUGUUAGCAUGGUGGUCAUCCACAGGAAAUUAAUGUUUGUGAUACGCUAAAAAAAGGCCUUAUGCUUAUUUGACGUCACAGUCAUGUAUUCUAUCUAAAUCUGAAGUAAAGUAGACCUUGUUAUAUACUUGAUUCCCCAUCAACCUGAACCCUCUUUACAUAUUUGACAUCAAUACAUAAUUCUCUCUCUUAUGCAUUUGGUUUUAUUUGUAAUUUUAUGUCACGUAACUUGAGAUUCUCACAGUCUUCUGCAGUACAGUCUGGGGAGCAGAUAAUGCAGUAUGGUCAAUCAAUUGAUGCUGGAGAAACUGCCCAAGGACAUAUUCCACGUCUUCUUGGUCUGUACAUGUUUCUGUUAAACUAUUGCAAGCACUUAGUUGUACGUAUCUAAUGUUCUUGACUUGCUUUUUAGAAGAAGCUUAUACACUUUCUAAUAUAAAAAUUCCUACGUGUUGUGUUGGUAUUUUGAUAUGUUUCUUGUGGUGCACUCAGCAUAAAUCUUUAAACUCUGAGAAUAAUUUAUACAUUGAUGUUUUUCUGAAAAGAAUUCGUAUUGCUAUUAAUUUUUGUGGUUUAUCUUUUGACAUUUAAAUCGCACCUAACUACUUUUUGACAAAAUUCAGAAUUGACUUCUCAAUUGUAGACCUGUAUAUCCUCUAAUGUAAACAAUAAGCUUUUUUAGGUCAGUUCUUUGCCUUACAAGAGCUACUCUAUGGAAAAUGGCUUGUUAUAUUGGUUUUAGUGAAGAAGAAAAUUGACGAGUCUUAUAGAAUGCAUCUCUCUCUUGCUCUAUCUCCACAUAUAUACUACUCUCUUCCUCUGCCUUAUACAGCUCCUUUUAUCUUCUGAUGCACCAGACGUUGUGUUGUAUCUUUGUGAGAAAGAGCAUGUCGAAGGUGGCAUGAUCUUUCAGCUGUUGGAAGACUUAACAGAAAUGUCAACUAUGAGAAAUUGCAAAGACGUUUUCGGUUAUAUUGAGAGUAAACAAGAUAUAUUAGGAAAGGUUUGUGCUUUUUAUAUGUCAAUGGAUUAUUUUUCCUUGUUUUGUUUUUUUAUUGUAAGUUUCCCAUUUUCCUUCUCUUUUACAUCCUGCUGUACUUUAUAUGGUUCUCCUCAUGCAGCCUGAGCUUUUUGCGCGAGGAAAACUUGUGAUGUUGAGAACAUGCAAUCAACUUCUUCGUCGUCUGUCAAAGGUGGUGUUACUAAUCAUAGUAGUCAUCAUUGCUUUUACAGCCAACUUUCAUUUUUGAAACUUUCCCCUCUAUUGUGAUAUUUGUUUGUAUUUCAAACACCAAAAAUUGGUAUGCCAUUCAGAAGUCACAUUUAAAGCUGGUUGUAUAAUGUUUAUAGAAAAUAACAGGUGCUCAGGUUAAUAUGUGUUGUACUUGUAAUUAUGUAAUGGUGGUUACAUAUUUGACAUCAUAGACUUGAGGAUGGGGCAUUGUAUAUUUGUGCUAGGGAGGUUCUCAUGUGUUUCUCACAUUGCUCCAUUGUGUUCCUCACAUUGCUUCACUGUGAUAAACAAAAUUUAAAAUGCGGUAUGCAAUCAUAUUGAUAUUGUUUUUCUCUCUUUUGAUUUAUGAACUAAUUUUUUGUUUUUUGAAAUUAAGUGUUUUAGCUAUUGUUGUACCACUUCAAGAAGUCCUUAUUUGAUGAAACUAUAUCCACUUCGAUGAUUAAAUUUUUCUUGAAAAACUUAUUGUUAUAGUCAUGUUGUGUACUAAUUUCUUUGAACCUGACUCAUAGGCAAAUGAUGUGGUAUUUUGUGGACGAAUUCUAAUGUUUUUGGCACACUUUUUCCCAUUAUCUGAGCGUUCAGGUACCUGUUUGUCUUCAACCCUUGUCUUCACUUGUAAUUUAAUUGCUCUCGACCCUGGUGUUCAGUUGGACUAUAUAUUCAUGUUGCUCUUAUGGUUACUGUGUGCAGCUGUUAAUAUAAAAGGAGUUUUUAACACAUCAAAUGAGACAAAAUAUGAGAAAGACCCCCCUGAUGGUACAUCCUUGCUAAUGACAGUUGCUUGAUUUCUCAAUGUUGAUGUCAACAUAUUAUUACACAUAUAUCUGUAUAUAUAUCUAGUGUGUAUAACUUUUUGGUGAGUAUAGAUCUCUUAAGCAUAUAUGUUAUCCGUUUUAUAAUUUUCAGGAAUUUCCAUCGAUUUCAACUUUUACAAAACCUUUUGGAGUUUACAGGUAAACUAUGCAACUUGGAAGCAAUACGGAGCUAGGCUUUUUAGUUAUGGUUUCCUCUUCUCCAUUUUGAUUUGAGUUUUGAGCUUAGGGAGUGUCUAUAUAUAAUGCUAAAAGGUUAUAUAGUUUGAAAUGUUGUUAAAUAUUCAUACUUUGUUUCUGUAAUUCUUCUUGUAAACUGAUAUCAGUGAUAUCAUUCAUUAUGCUAAAAACUUGUCUGGAUGGAUUUUCAGGAAAGCUUCUGUAACCCUCCUUCCUUAACUCUUGGUCCUACCAAGUGGAAGAAAUUUACAUCCGGUUUAAUGGUAAUAACAGUCUUCUGACAUCUUCGUUUUAUUUGUCUUUAUGGUAUGCCAGUUUCUCUUUAUUUUAUUAUUCACUCAAAUAUUCUUUUCUUGAAUGUCUUGUUAGGUUGUUUUGAAUACCUUUGAAGCUCAACCAUUAAGUGAUGAAGAGGGAGAUGCCAAUAACUUGGAGGAGGAAGCAACAAAUUUUAGCAUAAAAUAUCUUACAAGCAGUAAACUGAUGGGUUUGGAGGUUAGUAAUGCUGGAGUGUUGACUUAGAGUUUAAUUGUAGCAGACCAUUAUUUUGAUUAGGAAUCAAAUCCUUGAAUUUUGAUGUUUUCUGGUGAGCACAGUUGAAGGAUCCCAGUUUCCGACGUCACAUUCUUGUGCAGUGCCUCAUAUUGUUCGAUUAUCUGAAGGUAGAGUUGAACAGGUCUUAAUAUUGAUUUUGGGGAAAUAUCAUUUCACCUUCCUAAUCUCUGGGCUUGUUAUAAUGGCCCUUUUCAACUUUCUGAUUGAUCUAUUUUUCCCUAUAGUACUCUAAUAUGGUAAAAUUAACUCUUAUUUUCUUGUAGGCCCCGGGAAAAAGUGAAAAAGAUUUACCUUCUGAAAGCAUGGUCAGUGUUGUAGUUAUAUCUUGUUGACUUUUGUAACUUUCUUCCUUCUUCUUUUGCUUUCAUUAGAAAAGAAAACAACUUUCCUCAAGUGGUGCUAUCUUUAGAAAGAGAAUUUACCUCGGCGGUGCUGGUUAUAACAAAAGAUGUUGACAAAAAAAAAAAGGAAUAAAUUGAGAUGCCUUAGAUAUGUUAUGAUUUUGUUAGCCUUGUUUAUCUCCAAAGUUAGGAAUUUGGAACAACGGUGGAUUAGAGUACUACAAUCAAAUCUCACCUGUAACUUUAUAUCAAUGUUCUGUGCUUGUGUUCGCUUAUGAAUGCAGUAUUACUAUUAUCCCAGUCAUUUGCAUCAGUUUUGUUAUCGUUUCUUCUCAAAAAAAAAAUGCUAAUUUACUCAUGCAAUUCUAUAAGUUUAUUGUAUUCAAAAGCAACUGAUGGUCCCUGGGUAAUUGAGUUGUGCUUGGGACUUUAUCUUAUCUUUAUUAAGAUGCAAAUGGACACCGCUUACAUUUUCUUUAAGCAUGAAAAAUUAAUGAAUUUGUGUAGUAUACCUUUCAUUGUGAACUGGUGGAGAGGAUUUACUUUCAUUUGGACACAGUUAUAGCAAAAGGUUUUGUAUGAUGCUAUAAAGUCAGCUUUAGAAUAUCUGUGCAAUUUAUGAUGUCUGCUAAAGAUUUCCUUGUUGAUUUCAGAAAGAGGAAAUAAAAUCUUGUGAGGAGCGUGUCAAAAAGCUGCUUGAGAUGACUCCGCCCAAAGGGAAGGAAUUUCUUAAUAAAAUUGAGCAUAUAUUGGAACGUGAAAGGAAUUGGGUGAGUGUGUUAUCUGGCCUCAGCCAUGCUAUUCUCAGAAAAUGUUAUCGUUGUUCUUGAGCAUAAUAUGCAUUUAAUCUAUUCUUAGGUGUGGUGGAAAUGUGACGGUUGUCCCCCAUUUGAGAAGCAGCCAAUGGAGAAAAAGGUGAUCCAAGAAGGAGCCAAAAAGCGGUAUGCAAUUCAGUGGCCUGUUUGUCUGGGUCCUGCUAUUCCUUUUAAUGUGUUUUUUAAUAAGAAAAAAUUGAACAAUUUUAAUUUUUCCUUUUGUGUAAGGUCUACAUAAGAAUAACUGAAGCAGAUAGAAGUAAAUUCAUCCUUUGUUUUCUAGCCCUGCUGGGCAAUUCUACUUUAGUUAUUCAUGGCCUUGGGAGUAGGUUUAUCUUUUAUGUAUGUUUUAGAUCUCUUUAUUCUAAACAGUGAUGCAUAUUUUGACUUGUCGUUUUGAUGUUUCGAUUUUUUUUGUUUCUGAAGUUUUGGGUUACUGGUAUCGACACAGGUGUAUAUUGUUUAAACCUUUGAUGUGUAGUAUUAAAGACAUUUCUAUCAGAUCUCAACUUUAUCUCUGGAAAUACUAAAGACAUUGCUGUAGAAAACUUCUAUGGGAAUAUUAACAACUUCAGAGAUUCCAGUGAUACUACCAUUUUACAUAACAGAGCAAGAACUUGGAAAUUGGUCAAAAUUGCGGUGACAUCUUUGGAAAUAUUAAAGACAUUCCACUGGUCCUCAAUGAUAUUGUACGAAGGAAUAAGAUUUACACAUUUUUUUGGCAGAACCCUGCCACCCAUAUGCUGCCCUGAUACCAGCUGAAACUUCUGUACUCACUUUCACUAAGAAAAAAGGAAACAAAACUAGACUGUUUUUGAGAUGAGGUCUUCUGACCAAGUGCAGAUGUUUUGCCUUGUGGUGGAGAUUGUUUCCUCUUACUUGAAUAUACGAAAUGAUUUGGUUUGAGAGAAAGACAACCCUACCCUCAUAAUGGUAUUUAGGAUAUUUUAAAAUAAGCUACAAUCUAUGCAGAAAAAUAAACAAAUUCACAUGCUAGAUGAACUCAUGGAUUUUUGCUGGUAUAUAUACCCAUGCCUACAAAUUAAAAUUUUUGAAUUGUUCACCAACUUUUAUCAGCCUUCUGUUUGUUGUGACCUGUGAAGAUAUUUAAUAAAUUUGCAGUGCUCAUUAUAAUGAACUUUUUGGUUUUUUUUUUGUCCUAAAUUCAACAGUAGGCCGAGAUGGAGAAUGGGAAAUAAAGAACUAUCUCAGUUGUGGAAGUGGGCAGAUCAGAAUCCGGUAUGCUAGAUUGCUAUUUAUGACAAGAUUGUUGAAAUAAAUCUGGCUUCAAACAUGACAUUCACAAGGUUUUGAAUAUAUGCAAUUAUUUUUUGCAACCUCCAAUGUUUCACAAGCUUCGCUGAUUCUAUAAUUAAAUAUUGAGAAAAAGUUUGAUUUAUUUUCAAGAGUGGCGGUGAUCAUCACGAGGAAAUGUACACCCCCACACUCACACGGUAUAUAUAAAUAAUUAUAUUAUCAGCUGUUAACAGAAAAAAGUUAAUAGCAUCUUGCUGAUUCUUCAUGGUUCAUACCUACUGUCCUUUCUGAAUUAGUACUUAUAUACUCAUAGAAUAUCAGUUCAGUUCUUACUAUAAAGAAGACAAAGAUUACAGAUCAAGUUGUUGAGGAAGAAACAUGUAAAUAUGUAGCAAUAUGUUCCUUUCAGUAUUGUUGACCACAAAAUUAAUUUGAAAAUUUUGGUGUUAUAUUGUUUAAUAGUUAUUUUUUCCUUGUCUAGAAUGCUUUAACCGAUCCUCAACGUGUUCGAACACCUUCCAUCACUGGGUACUGGAAGCCCUUGGUUGAAGAUGUAAGUACUAUAUACUUCUGAAUGUCCAAACUAGCAUGUUGUGUGUGUGUACUCGCGCUCACUCUUGUCCCUUCUCAUGCUAUGGAUUUUUUAUGUUCUCAGUAACUGUUUAGUAAGAUGAAUUUCUUUGAGUUACAGAUGGAUCCAGCAGCUGGAAUAGAACCUGAGUAUCACCACAAAAAUAACCGAGUGAGUUUUCUUCUGGAAUUUUUGGUCAAAAUCAGAAGACAAUCAUACAGAUAAAAGUUGGGUUGCAUUUUGACUAGGGUUCAUUGUUAAUAUAGAGUGCUAUUUUAUUUAAUAUCUGUUCAACUGUUUCACCAUGUGAUUCAAUGUGCAUUACCUCUUGCUUUUGAAUAUUAGAAUUGUUGAAACUCAAACUAGUGUUCCACUUAAAAUUUGAUUUUGUUUUAUCCAAUAGUAAAAUUUCAACAUGCAGGUUUAUUGCUGGAAAGGUCUUCGAUUUUCAGCUAGACAAGACUUGGAAGGAUUUUCUCGAGUAUGAAUAUAACUAUGUUUGCAUAGUUAAUGUAUUAUUUCAUUUUUCACUGAGCUUUACACCACUUGUGUGGAUGUCAUUGCAGUUUACUGAACAUGGUAUUGAAGGAGUUGUACCGCUGGAACUUUUGUCUCCUGAGGAGCGGUCUAAAUACCAAGCUAAACCAAAUGACAGGUCUAAACGUGCUAAAAAGGAAGAAUCAAAAGGUGCUGCACAUCAAUUAGAAGAAAGUCAGGUAUAUAAUCGGCAGUGUGUUGAAUUUCUAGUGUUUUAUUGUUGACGUCUUUGAUUCCUGUAGAAAGUUGAAUAUGCAAAUGAGGAAAUAAUAUGAAUAAUGUGUAUGUGUUUGUGUGUGCGUGUAUAUUGCCGAUGAGAUUUAGAAAGAAACAUCUUUAUUAUUUAGACAUAACGUUACAUGGCUGCAUAACACUUGAUCUGUGCAAUGCAUCUUCAGCCUAAAGAUUGAAAAAAUGAGAUGAAAAAUGUUAUAAACUUUUGCCCCUUUAUUGUUGUAUAUUUCGUGUUCUUUUUUGUCUUGGGGUAUAGGUUGUUUUCAAAUUUGAGAUCAAGUAAAUGCAUGUGUACGUAUAUGGAAGUAUCAGCAUUACUUGUACCCCAAGAAUUUUGACAAUAUUUUUUUCCCUGAAGAAUGCUACACCUGCAAGUGAAUUAGACGGUGAAGCCUCAGGGACGCCAAUGGACACUGAUACCAUUGCUGCAGCCGGCAACAUGUCCCAAGGUGGAAGUCCAAUCCCUGAUGAACAUCAGAAGCAAAGCUCCGAUGCGGAUGUGGGUCAAGAGGGAGGUCAGUUGGAAGCAGAUGCCGAGGUCGAGGUUGAGGCAGGGAUGCUUGAUGGUGAGGACGCGGAGGCUGAUUUGGAUCCAGUUGGUUAGCCCGUUCAAAGUUGGGAGUUUGCAUAUGUAAGAAUGAAUAUUUGAUUGAAAGUAGAUGACAUGUUUGGAAAUCCUAGAUUAGCAACAAAAAUUCCGACUAAUUUUUGUAAUGAGAUUGUAUGUUCGCCGGCCAAUGAAUGAACCACUCGAGGUUCCGUUUCUUCCGUUAAAGGGGAUUCAUGGAAAAAAUGGAAUAUAAAGACGUGUUCCAAGAACAUCAUUGAUACGUUGCUUGCGAGUCCCUUGGGCGGUCGCAGUCAGCCAUGGGAAAAGUAAGCAAAUGAAGGCAAAUUAAAUGCCAUUCGGGUUGUUUGAUCUUCAAGCUACUUCCUACCGGGUUACAUAUCACACAAGGAUGCAUGUCUGCCACAAAUUUGACCUACAAAUCAAACCCCCCGUGACCUUUGUUCAUUAAAUGAUCUCUUCACGAGAUAUUUCUUUUCACUUGUAAGUGAGACGUCUUAGAUUUGAAUCUCGUAGAUGAUGAAUUCGAUACCAAAUUAAGUUACCCAUUAUGUGAUUUAACCGAACUUAUUUCUCUUUAGUGUAAAAUAUAUCGUUGUAUUCAAACAAAAAAAAUUAAUGAAAUGCAUAGCGAAGCUUGCGUAUUAUUUACACAAGUAUCAUUAGAUUCAACCCUACUACUUAUCAAUUACAAAUGAAGGAGAGAAAUAUCAACAAACAAUAGUAUUUAGUAACAAAGUUGUUAACAAGUUUAAGAAGAAAGCAACAAUAUCAAAGUGUCAAAGAUUUGUAACUCAGCUGAUUAAGAAUAUUUUUGUACCGACUUUUGAAUUAGUUUUUUUUACUGGUAUUUAUUAAUUGUGCAGUAAAAGUAAGACAAACAAAACUCGAGAUCUUGAACAUAAAAAAAAAAAAGGUUCGAUCGAAAAAAAUAAAAAAAAGGAGUAGGAAUCCGAGUGAGAAGAAACACACACUCUGACACCCACGACAAAACACAAAAUUCCUUCCUUUCUUCCAAAUUUCCAAUUCCAUUUUACAUUUUACAUUUUACAAAUUUACCGCACAAAAUCUAAAACCCUUUUCCCUUUCGGAUUUUCUUUCACCCAAAGCUUCACUCCACACCACCAGAUUCGUUGAUACCCCUCCGUCUGCUUUCUGUUUGUUUCCCGAGAAAGUUUUUCCAUGUUCAAUUUUUUAUUGUUCAGAUUUGGAUUAACUAAUGGCCCCUGCUUCCGAGGUUCGUUGACUUAACUUACGAUUUUCUCAAUCUUUGAUCUUUGAUAAUCUGGUGGUACAAUAGUUCAGAUCGUUUGAUUCGAAAUUUGACAUAUUUUUUUUUAUAUUAUUGAUUCAUUGUUUUAGCUCAAAAGGGUUGUCUUUGUUUUCUUGGUUAAUUGAAUUAUGAUUGUUGAUUGUUGAUUUUUGAGUAGGAAAAUCAUGGAGUUGAAAUUGGAUUUGGAAUGUGAUGUUUGAUUGGGGAAAGUGGAAUUCUUGUUGUGUGCUUGAUGAGCCAAGAUGCUGUUCAAAUCUAAGAUAAAAUGGGUUGCUCUCUUUGUCCUCAUUUUAUCUUUUGCAUCAUUGCUUCGGCACAUCUCUAUAGCAAGAUUUUCGACUGUCGAUUUAGUCCAGUAUAGCGCAUUGACCGCAUUCCAUAACGAUUUCGAUUCUAUCUCUGGGAGGCAGGUGAGAUUUUGAGUCAUUUCUCUGCCCAUCAUGCGUCUAUUUCGAGUGUAUGUUCUUGGUUGUCUUGAUGGGCUUCUUUUGUUUUUUACAAUCAUGCAGAGUGUUCCUAAUAAGAAGCUAUGGGGGCCUGUGAAGACCCUGCAGUCUUUUCAGCCUUAUGCCAACCCCCGAGGCAACUAUCCUGGUGAUCAUCUUGCUCUGUUUCUUGCAUUUGUGUAUUUUCUUAGUUUGUUCGUUUCUAGGUUUAUCAUAUUCUUGCAUGGUAUAGUUUAUGAAUUUGACAAUUUGAACCCAUUGGUGAAUCCAUUCCCUCGCAUGCAUGACCAUCUCGAAGCUAAUGGUAACUGUUAUCUUUGUUAUACUGAAUUUGAAUUGAGUUCCCUCAUUCUAUGUUCUUUUUUGUCACUGGAGGAUUUGAUAACCUUGAACCAUUCAUAUUUUAGUUGAUUGAAUACUUUUAUCUUUUUACAGUUCCAAAUGAACAGAGCAAUGGCUUCAUUUAUGCAAAAAUAUUUGGAGGAUUUGGAAAGAUAAGAUCUACGGUAAGAUUUGUCAAAUAUGUGAAAGUGAUUCUGUGAUAAUUUGUAUGUGGUGUUCAUAAAUCUUUGUUAAUUUUCUAGAUCUGUGAUCUGGUCACCAUAUCCAGGCUUUUAAAUGCUACUCUUGUCAUUCCAGACAUUCAAGAAAGUACUCGCUCAAAAGGCAUCAGGUUCUUUUUUAGUUUGCUACUUCUUUUAUGCCAGUUUGCUGCGAUCAUAUGAUUCAUUGCUUCUUAUCUCUUUUGUUUUUUAUGACUUUGCCAGCUCUCAUUUCAAGAGUUUUACAUAUCUCUACGAUGAGGUGCACUUUAUAGCAUCUCUAAAAAACGACAUAGUCAUUGUGAAGAGUCUGCCAGAUAAUCUGAAGGCAGCAAGGAAAAGAAAUGAAUUCCCUUCUUUUAGACCCAAGAAUUCAGCUUCUCCAAAUUUUUAUAUCAAAGAAGUCCUACCAAAGUUAAAGAAAACCAAAGUUAUCGGCUUGAUCAUUGCUGAUGGUGGAUGUCUGCGGGUAGCUGAUUUUCUACUAGUUUAAUAGUAUAGCCUAUUUCAAAAUGUCAUCUGCUUGAGAAAAUAUGCAUAUUCUGUUAACAUUUAUAACCACAUAUUGUCAUACUCUUUUUUGCACUAGAACUGUCACCUAUGAACCAUUGUCUAUGAAAAUAAAUAAAUGUUAUCUAAGAACCACUUAAACAUUCAUUCUCUGUCGCUUUCCUAUUGGUUGAUAGGGAUCAUUCAUUCGUAUAUGAUUAUGUUAGUAGUGAGUCUGUUUUGUUUCUUUUCACUUAGUGAUUUCUGUGUUACAAGCAUGCAUGCUUGACAAUUAAGUUUAAGUGUUGAUGCAAUAUAAUCCUAUUUUCAGUCAAUCCUUCCACCAAACAUGGCCGAGUUUCAAAGACUUAGAUGCAGGGUUGCCUUCCAUGCACUUCAAUUCAGGCCAGAAAUUCAAAUGCUUGGACACAAGAUGGUGGAGAGGUAUGAAUCUAGCAACGCACCUUUUUUCCUGAAGAUUUGAACCGAUAGAGUGAUAUUGGUGUUUAGAGAACUUGAUUAGUAUAGACUGCUCUUAGACCAUCUGAUGCAAGAUGUUUUUAAUUAAAUAGAUUUUAUUUGAAGGUUACGGUUGAGUUGGAAAGAUUAGGUAAUAGAUAGAGUUAACUGGAGGGAUAGAGUUAACCAGAAGGAUGGAGUCAACAGGAGGGGUCGAGUUAUGGAGUAAGGAAAUUUUAUCUUUGAAAGUCUUAGGUCUGGCUUUCUACAAAUUGGAUGGAAGUUUGUAUAAGGAAAAUGGAAACUAUAAGCCUAAUGGAUAUGCCUAGGUUUUCCAAGCAGUCAAAGUGAACACAUCCUCUUAAAGAGGUUCAAAGGCCACGUGAAGUUUCCUAUAAUAUCCGCUAGUGUGGUCAUAUUCUUCUAGGAAGGGGUGAGGUUUUGGUUUUUGCUUGGGGAUUGAUUCUAUCUCAUCAGAGUUUAGGGAUUAUUACUUUCGUAUAUAUUACUAGAUUAGAAGGCAGUUAUGUGAUUAUUUUGUGUCAUAGCUUUUAUUUAUGUAGCUUCUGUAGAUGAUGGAUCUUUAUUAGUUUCCUUUUUUUUUUUUUUUUUUUUUGAGAAGAAACGAUAACACUUUAUUAAAAUAAAAACAAGAAUUAAAAAAUAGUGCAUAAGAAAUCCACCAUAUAGCAAAGCUAGCUAAGACCUCUCAAAUAGAUCUGAUUACAAGUAACAAUACCUCAACCAAAAUCAUUUUACGUGGCUUCUGGUGGACCCCGUUCACUUCUUGUAAUAAUUUACUUCUAAGAACUAUUUUCCUUCAGUUGAUCAAUGUGGCUUUUAUACUCCAAUAGGUUACGUGCAUGGGGUCAACCUUUCCUAGCGUAUCAUCCUGGUUUAGUGAGAGAAACCUUGGCAUAUCAUGGCUGUGCUGAACUUUUUCAGGUAAGAUGUUUUAGCCAGUUUUAUCUUUGGUAGUUGUGAAAAUAUAAAUUGUUGAUCUACAUGCUUAGACUUUAUCAUAGUAUUAGAGUAAUAGAACCUAAGUUUGAACCACCUCCAAUUAUGAAAUUCCAAUAUUAAGUUGAGUUCCACACGUUGGUCCUUAGUGAUGGAAAGAGGUUCACAUGUGAUGGGUGUUACAACUUAACAUAAUUCUGUCCAACACAUACACACAGCUUAAACUUUCUGGUUACAAUCUUUUUCAUAUCUCUGCCUGUGAAGUCUAAGUUAGUGUUAAAACGAUUGUUCUCCUUUGUUCCUUGGUUAAAAUCUAAGUCCGAUAAAAAUUCAGUUUUGGAGUUCUCUCCCUCCUCUUGAGUACAGGUGGUUUCUACCUUAAACAACUGCAAAAUAUUAACAGCGUGUCCAUUCACUGUCAUGGUUAUCAAAGUUAUCUUGCUAACUUGCUACUUUUCUGUAGGAUGUUCACACUGAACUCAUACAAUAUCGAAGGAAACAAAUGAUUAAAAAGGGCAUUGUUCAUGAGGAACUAAGCAUAGAUUCACACUUGCGUAGAGAAAAUGGCUCAUGCCCGCUGAUGCCUGAAGAGGUAAGCUCAGUACUAAUUUGAGAUCCAGCUUAUGUAUUUGUAAAUUGUAAGUACUGUUGUGUGGCUUUUAGUCCAGCCUGAUGCUUCUUUCUCGUGGUUCAUUUUUUAUUGUUUUGAAAAUUUCACUUUUCAAUGCCAUAAGAAUGUCUAGAAGAUUAGUAGUGAACUUCAGUGCUGGUUGUGAAAUUAAGCUUCCUUGGCACUCACUCAACACUGAAUUGAUUUUAGCAGUUCAGAAAAAGCAGAACCUCAAGCAUCCUUCUAUCAAUUUCGCUUUUAAAUAUUAAAUAUUAACAUUACAAUGGGAGUGGAAUUUGUGUUUCCAAAAAUUUAUGCUCAAGUGAUAGGUUUAUUAAGUCAAGGAUGCAGACCAGAAUUGGCUUCGGUUACUAAAGAGUUUAAUAAUUGCUCUCUAUCUCAAAUACUGUGGGAUUUGUUAGCAGCAGUUAAGUGAGCUAGGUCUAGAAUUGGCUGAUGUAGCCAAAUCCUAUUGGGAUUUUCCUUUCUAAUUUGUUGGUGGACUUCUUAUCCACUUCUGUGUAUUUCUCUAUUCUUUAAUAAAAUUGUUUCUUCUCAAAAAAAAAAAAGGAUGCAGACCAGAAAAAACAGUAGAGGAUGGAAUGACGCUGAGAAUUUAGUUAAUCCAACACCAUCUAAUUCAUAAAAAUAACUUUCGUAUUUUAAUUACUUGAAAAUUUUAUUUUAAAGGAGAAAAUGAUGAAUAGACAUCGAAUAAGAGUAAGGACUGAUCCUUUCUAAAGGUAUCCACUCAAAAUAAGGAUAUGUGUCACUGUGAUUUCUACAUUACCUCCUUGACUGGCCCUAAUUGGGUCAUCACCUUGACCAAAAGCAUAAGAUAAAAAAGGGAGGGGAGGGUAGUAGAAGGAAAGAACCUGGGCUUGAAAACCCUGUAUAUUAUCUCAAGCUUGAGUUCUUAUUCCGGGGCUUGACUCAAGCAUGUUAAUACGUUUGUGAACAAGCUUGUGACUAAGAAUCAUGGUAUAAAUUUGAUCUUCUACUUAUUGUGUCAUUUUCCACUGUAUAAUUUCAGUUUUGGUGGUGCAUUGAUAACGUAUGGGCUCAUUGAUGAUAAUUAAUAAAUCAAUCUAUCUACAUUUCCGUUGUUCAUUAGCUCAUUUAUUCUUCUUGAGACUUUCCCAGGUUGGAAUUCUUCUUCGUUCAAUGGGGUUUUCUCCUAAAACAAUUAUAUAUCUGGCUGGUUCUGAAACAUUUGGGGGUCAACGUGUUCUGGUCCCUUUGCGUGCUAUGUUUCCCAAUUUAGUGGAUCGCACUUCCUUGUGCAGCAAUAAAGAAUUGGCUGAUAUACUUGGACCUGAAACACCUCUUCCGCAAAAUCCAUUUCAUCCACCUCCAGCAAAAAGCGAGGAACAACUUAAAGAAGAAUGGAAGAAGGCUGGUCCUAGGCCUCGGCCUCUUCCUCCACCUCCUGGUAGACCUAUCUAUCAACAUGAAAAAGAAGGCUGGUAUGGUUGGAUUACUGAGACUGACAUCGAACCAGACCUUUCUGCUUUGGAUCUGAGAAUGCAAGCACAUAGACUAAUUUGGGAUGCUCUUGAUUAUAUUGUCUCUGUGGAAGCAGACACAUUCUUUCCUGGUUUUAACAAUGAUGGCAGUGGAUGGCCAGAUUUUUCAAGCUUGGUCAUGGGACACCGUUUGUAUGAGGUUGCUUCUUCUAGAACAUACCGACCAGACAGGCAAGAGAAGAAAAAAAAAGAAUCUAAUUCGACCUUUUAUAUAUGAUUGAUGAUCUUGUUUAACUUUGUGUGUCCUCUUUUCGAACAGGAAAGUUGUAGCACAACUUUUCAACAUGACGAGGGACAAUGUCUACCAUCCCAAGCAUAAUUGGACACUCUCAGUGCAGGAACAUCUUAAGAAAAGCUUAAGUGAGGAAGGCCUUACAAGGCAAUCCGUUGUGUCAAAGCCAGCCUUGUUUAUUUCACACCCACUCCCCGAAUGCUCUUGUAGAAUGUCUUCUGCCGAUGCUCCAGUUCAUGUAAAAGGUAAUGAUGGCCGAACUGUAUAUGGAGGCGAAGAAGAGUGCCCGAAGUGGAUGAAGCAUGGUCAAGAAGUUCCUUUGGAUUCAGCUGGGGAAGAGGGAGUGGAGGACAAUGAAUUGUCCCAGUACGGAAGUACUCUGGACGAACAACCAGAAUCAAAUGACAGUGACAGAACUAAUGCUACUCUCUACUCUGAUCAGGACGAGGAAAUGGACCCGAAUGACUAAAGUUGGAUCUGCAUACGAUCCAGUUCCCAUCUUUUUACUAUACUGCGGCAUUCAGUUUCCAUCGUUUUCUACCAAAAUGGAAAGUUUUGGAGGUAGAGAUGACAUUAACUUCACACAAGACGAGGAUCGAGGACAAAUCGAUGCGCUUGGAGUAAGCCAAUCAGAGUUUGUACACCGUUUUACUGAUAUAAGGUUUAUAUUCAUAGAAAAAGUUAUUACUUGUUAGAUAAGCCACAUGUAAUUUUCUUGUAGAGAACAAAUGACGAGUACAGGAAAUGAUUCAUUGCGGUCUCUCAGAUAAUUUUUUGUCGAUACAUUUCAUUUCGAAAACUGUUCGCUUUCCGUUUUUUAAUCAUGCACUUGCUCGUUUGUUGGCCAGAAUUCGAGCAAAAUUUAGCGGAUUAAAACACAUGUAGCUCACACUGCCUCCUAUUUGUUCAAAUUUUGAACUACAAUGUUAGAGCUCGUUUGGAUGUGCUUUUAAAAUGAUUGAAAGCGCUUUUGAUGAAAAUGUUUUUAGAACCAAUCUUUAGUAAAAAUACAAGUGAAUUCUGAAAAACAUUUAAAGUGCUUCUUAGAAGAAGUACAUAAUUGGUGCUUCUUGCAGAAAGCACUUCAAGUGCUUUUAAAACCUAAAACAAUUUUAUCUAAAAGCACUUUCAAUCAUUUUAAAAGCACAUCCAAACGAACCCUUAUGUAGGAGAGGCUCCUCGCUGGUGCACAGAGGUCCAUUUAGAAAAUUUACUUCGCGGGAGAAAUAUGCAAACAAUCGAGGCAUAUGCCACCACCGCUCAGAGCAAUUUGUGGCUCUCUGUAUGUCACUUUCUUUAAAACUCAAAAGGGCAAAACUACUUAACCCGGAAAAAAUAUAUAGCCUCAUCAGCUCCAAAUCUAAAGCUAGUUAGAUCGAAAAGAAGGAAAUUCAGGCGGCAGCUGCAUGCUUUCUCAGAAGAAAACAAGUCUUGAAUACAGAGAAAAUAUCACAUGCAUACAACUGUAAUUUGUAAUUUCAUAUAAAAAGUUAUACAGCCUCUUUGUUUACAAGCAAAACAAAAUUUCAAGUAAUUUACAUCCUACCGAAACCUCCCAUCAUAGUCCUGUAAGUUGAUACACAUACCAACCCACUCCAGCUUACUGGGUUUCCUCUGGUACAUAUUCCGCUGCCCUAACACCCACCGAAAUGUGAGGUGUCCACACAAAACAUCAGUUUACACAUGGAUCACUUCUAAAUUGCACAACAUAAGAAAACCACACUAACAGAUUACGUUUAUUCGUUACCAGGAACACUUUAUUCAAGUAAUAUCAAACACGAAGUAUUGACCAUAGUAUAGAGAGGUGAAAUGCGCUACCAAAGAUUGCUAUGCUGCUGCUUCUGUGGGCUUCUCAGCAACAGUGGGGCUUGCACUUUCGGCUUCUUUUAUCUGCCUCAUGAUGUCUGACUUUGUCUCAAGUAGGCCUUCUAUUUUGCCAUUGAUCUUCUCUAGCUUCUGUUUCAGCUUUACAACAUCACUGCCUUUGUCCUUUUUAUCGACUUUCCUUUUCUUCUCGCCCUUCUCCCCCUUCUCCCCCUUCACCUUUUUCUCUUUAUCUUUCUUCUCUUUACCCUCCUUUCCUUCAUCUUUCUGCGUCUCCUCCUCUACUUCACACUUUGAUUCCUUUACAUUUUCUUGAGUGUCAAUCUCCCUGGAAGUAACUUCAGCCUUGACCUCCUCCUCAUCCUCUUCAUUUUUGUGUUUCUUCUUUUUGUCCUCCUUGUCUUUCUUCUUCUUUCCUUCUUUUUUGUCAUCUUUUUGCUCAUCGCUCUUCUUCUCUUUUUCAUCAUCACCGUAUUUGUGUUUCUUCUUUUUAUCAUCCUUGUCUUUCUUCUUCUCCCCUUCUUUUUUAUUGCCGUCACCUUUUACUUCAUCACUCUUCUCCUUUUCGCCAUCACCACCCUUGUGUUUCUUCUUUUUAUCGUCUUUCUUCUUCUCCCCUUCUUUUUUAUCAUCGUCACCUUUUACCUCAUCACUCUUCUUCUCUGUUUCAUCAUCACCGCCCUUGUGUUUCUUCUUUUUAUCGUCCUUUCCUUCAUCCUUACGCGUCUCCUCUGCUUCACCCUUUGAUUCCUUUACAUUAUCUUCAAUGUCAAUCUCCCUGGAAGUAACUUCAGCCUUGACCUCCUCCUCAUCCUCUUCAUUUUUGUGUUUCUUCUUUUUGUCCUCCUUGUCUUUCUUCUUCUUUCCUUCUUUUUUGUCAUCUUUUUGUUCAUCGCUCUUCUUCUCUUUUUCAUCACCACCAUCCUUGUGUUUCUUCUUUUUAUCAUCCUUCUCCUUCUUCUCCCCUUCUUUUUUAUCGUAGUCACCUUUUACCUCAUCGCUCUUCUUCUCUUUUUCAUCAUCGCCCUUGUGUUUCUUCUUUUUCUCAUCCUCGUCUUUCUUCUUCUUUCCUUUUUUCUUAUCAUCACCGUCGUUUUCCUCAUCCUUGUCUUUCUUCUCCUUCUUCUUCCCUUCUUUUUCAUCAUCCACCUUUUCCCCUUCCUCUAAAUCUUUACCUUUGUCCUUCUUAUCCUUCUUCUUUUUCUCUUUUUCUCCCCCUUCUAUAUCAUCUUCUUUAUCUUCGUUCUUCUCCUUGUUCUUUUUCUUCUUCUCUUCCUUGUCCUCCUUUUUAUCUUCUUCACUCUCUCCCGCUUCAUUAUCCUUCUCUUUCUUCUUUUCCUUCUUCGUUAUGUCUUUAUCCUUCUUCUUCGAUUUCUCCUCGUCUGC
RNAcentral lists this long non-coding RNA (39390 nucleotides) under Malus domestica (apple). Its description in RNAcentral is "long non-coding RNA (MDOM_LNC013613)". The record is from RNAcentral. Lineage: Eukaryota; Viridiplantae; Streptophyta; Magnoliopsida; Rosales; Rosaceae.